This 468-nucleotide ribosomal RNA is filed under the name uncultured bacterium. RNAcentral's name for it is "partial 16S ribosomal RNA". It matches the Rfam family "Bacterial small subunit ribosomal RNA", at positions 28 to 507 of the family's 1533-position model. The record is from RNAcentral.
GACGAACGCUGGCGGCGUGCUUAACACAUGCAAGUCGAACGGAAAGGCCCUGCUUUUGUGGGGUGCUCGAGUGGCGAACGGGUGAGUAACACGUGAGUAACCUGCCCUUGACUUUGGGAUAACUUCAGGAAACUGGGGCUAAUACCGUAUAGGAGCUCCUGCUGCAUGGUGGGGGUUGGAAAGUUUCGGCGGUUGGGGAUGGACUCGCGGCUUAUCAGCUUGUUGGUGGGGUAGUGGCUUACCAAGGCUUUGACGGGUAGCCGGCCUGAGAGGGUGACCGGCCACAUUGGGACUGAGAUACGGCCCAGACUCCUACGGGAGGCAGCAGUGGGGAAUAUUGCACAAUGGGCGGAAGCCGGAUGCAGCAACGCCGCGUGCGGGAUGACGGCCUUCGGGUUGUAAACCGCUUUCGCCUGUGACGAAGCGUGAGUGACGGUAAUGGGUAAAGAAGCACCGGCUAACUACGUG